GUCCACGCCGUAAACGAUGAGAACUAGACGUUGGGGGCUUUAUGCCCUUAGUGUCGCAGCUAACGCGAUAAGUUCUCCGCCUGGGGAGUACGGCCGCAAGGUUAAAACUCAAAGGAAUUGACGGGGGCCCGCACAAGCGGUGGAGCAUGUGGUUUAAUUCGAUGCAACGCGAAAAACCUUACCUGCCCCUUGACAUCUGGCGAACUUUCCAGAGAUGGAUUGGUGCCUUCGGGAAUGCCAUGACAGGUGCUGCAUGGCUGUCGU
RNAcentral lists this ribosomal RNA (264 nucleotides) under uncultured bacterium. RNAcentral describes it as "partial 16S ribosomal RNA". It matches the Rfam family "Bacterial small subunit ribosomal RNA", at positions 793 to 1055 of the family's 1533-position model. The record is from RNAcentral.